RNAcentral lists this transfer RNA (90 nucleotides) under Rhodothermaceae bacterium. Its description in RNAcentral is "tRNA-Ser". It matches the Rfam family "tRNA". From Rfam's summary of the family: Transfer RNA (tRNA) molecules are approximately 80 nucleotides in length. Their secondary structure includes four short double-helical elements and three loops (D, anti-codon, and T loops). Lineage: Bacteria; Pseudomonadati; Rhodothermota; Rhodothermia; Rhodothermales; Rhodothermaceae. The record is from RNAcentral.
GGAGAGGUGGGUGAGUGGCUGAAACCACCGGUUUGCUAAACCGGCGUACGUCGAACAGACGUACCGAGGGUUCGAAUCCCUCCCUCUCCG